UACGUAGGCAGCGAGCGUUGUUCGGAGUUACUGGGCGUAAAGAGUGCGUAGGCGGUUUUCUAAGUUUGGUGUGAAAUCUCCCGGCUUAACUGGGAGGGUGCGCCGAAAACUGGAAGGCUUGAGUAUGGGAGAGGUAAGCGGAAUUCCUGGUGUAGCGGUGAAAUGCGUAGAUAUCAGGAGGAACACCUGCGGUGUAGACGGCUUACUGGACCAUAACUGACGCUGAGGCACGAAAGCGCGGGUAGCAAACAGG
This 253-nucleotide ribosomal RNA is filed under the name uncultured bacterium. Its description in RNAcentral is "partial 16S ribosomal RNA". It matches the Rfam family "Bacterial small subunit ribosomal RNA", at positions 524 to 776 of the family's 1533-position model. The record is from RNAcentral.